This 429-nucleotide ribosomal RNA is filed under the name uncultured bacterium. RNAcentral's name for it is "partial 16S ribosomal RNA". It matches the Rfam family "Bacterial small subunit ribosomal RNA", at positions 355 to 773 of the family's 1533-position model. The record is from RNAcentral.
UGGGGAAUUUUGGACGAAUUGGGCGAAAGGCCUGAAUCCAGCAAUGCCGCGUGUGUGAAGAAGGCCUUCGGGUUGUAAAGCACUUUUGUCCGGAAAGAAAUCCUUGGCUCUAAUACAGUCGGGGGAUGACGGUACCGGAAGAAUAAGCACCGGCUAACUACGUGCCAGCAGCCGCGGUAAUACGUAGGGUGCAAGCGUUAAUCGGAAUUGCUGGGCGUAAAGCGUGCGCAGGCGGUUUGCUAAGACCGAUGUGAAAUCCCCGGGCUCAACCUGGGAACUGCAUUGGUGACUGGCAGCUAGAGUAUGGCAGAGGGGGGUAGAAUUCCACGUGUAGCAGUGAAAUGCGUAGAGAUGUGGAGGAAUACCGAUGGCGAAGGCAGCCCCCUGGGCCAAUACUGACGCUCAUGCACGAAAGCGUGGGGAGCAAAC